UAAGAAUGUGUGAUAGUGGGGUAAGUGUGUAUGGCUUUAUGUGUGCGCAUGUGAGUGUGUGGAUGCUGAAGGAAAGAUCCAGCGUACCAAUAAACCUGGUUCUCAGAAAGCUUCUGUUCAGUUAAUGUCCACCUUAGAAGUGAAAAAAGGUUGUGGCCACACAGUUCAGGAGUGAUUAUUUAUUCUGUUCCUAUUUAAUAGAUGGAAAUAAACUUUUGAAAUAUGAAUUAAGUAUUAUGUUACAAUGUGAUGAGAGUAAAUAAACAGUUACAGAAUAUGUUACUAUGUAAUAAAAUGAAAACAUGUGUUUUCUUCUCUGCUCCUUAAUAAUGGAAUAAAAUGCAGCUUUGUUAUGCCUGGAGAUCCGCAUAUUGUCUUAAAUGUGUACACGCGCCUUUAACUUAUGAGUACCGCACGUGCGAACAUGAUCGAUCACGUGACAGCCGGAAACGGGUCGUGAAAUAGUUAAAAUGGUGAUGAAAUACCGAGUGAAAUGUGUGUUUUAAGCACACCGAACUCAUAGAUGGAUAGAAGUCAACUCUAUUUUAGGAUACCGUAAUUUAAUAAAAGGUUAACGGACUGAAAGGUGUAACCGGAAGUUGUCCUCUCCUCAGUCUGUCUGACUUGAUGCUGACUAAAACCGCCUUCGACACCGUUUACCUCCGCGGCCCAGCCGACAAAUUAUGAUCCCGGAGAAGAACCAGCAGCAGCGGCCGCACCACGGGCCCAGACCAGCGGUCCCCAGCUCUGUCGCUGAGCUAUGAGCAUGCCACCGCUCCGGCUUCUUCGUCUCAGUCUGACCGAUAUUCAGUUACCAGCAAAAUGUAUUUCAACCGGAGAGCCAAGAAGAUACACAGCGAGGGAGAGCAGUUAGUGUUGACCACCAUUAGGCAGGAGGCUUCUGAACUACAGGACCCAGACCUGGGUGCUGGUGCUACCAUGCGUGCCCGCCUCACAGACAGGUUUGACAAAAGUGAGUUUGCUCUUACCAGACUGGAUGAUGCCCCAUUUGUGUUUGGAGUC
Sphaeramia orbicularis (orbiculate cardinalfish) is the source of this 1023-nucleotide long non-coding RNA. RefSeq lists it as uncharacterized. The record is from RefSeq and is a predicted model, not a curated record. NCBI's taxonomy places the organism in Eukaryota, Metazoa, Chordata, Actinopteri, Kurtiformes, Apogonidae. The transcript has 3 exons.